GACGAACGCUGGCGGCGUGCUUAACACAUGCAAGUCGAACGAUGAAGCCCAGCUUGCUGGGUGGAUUAGUGGCGAACGGGUGAGUAACACGUGAGUAACCUGCCCUUGACUCUGGGAUAAGCGCUGGAAACGGCGUCUAAUACCGGAUACGACCUGCCCCGGCAUCGGGUGCGGGUGGAAAGUUUUUCGGUCAAGGAUGGACUCGCGGCCUAUCAGCUAGUUGGUGAGGUAAUGGCUCACCAAGGCGACGACGGGUAGCCGGCCUGAGAGGGUGACCGGCCACACUGGGACUGAGACACGGCCCAGACUCCUACGGGAGGCAGCAGUGGGGAAUAUUGCACAAUGGGCGAAAGCCUGAUGCAGCAACGCCGCGUGGGGGAUGACGGCCUUCGGGUUGUAAACCUCUUUUAGUAGGGAAGAAGGGCUUCGGCUUGACGGUACCUGCAGAAAAAGCACCGGCUAACUACGUGCCAGCAGCCGCCGUAA
Molecule: ribosomal RNA, 486 nt
Filed under: uncultured bacterium
Lineage: Bacteria
Description: partial 16S ribosomal RNA
Rfam family: Bacterial small subunit ribosomal RNA
Source: RNAcentral